RNAcentral lists this transfer RNA (70 nucleotides) under Canis lupus familiaris (dog). It matches the Rfam family "tRNA". Rfam says of the family: Transfer RNA (tRNA) molecules are approximately 80 nucleotides in length. Their secondary structure includes four short double-helical elements and three loops (D, anti-codon, and T loops). Further hydrogen bonds mediate the characteristic L-shaped molecular structure. tRNAs have two regions of fundamental functional importance: the anti-codon, which is responsible for specific mRNA codon recognition, and the 3' end, to which the tRNAs corresponding amino acid is attached (by aminoacyl-tRNA synthetases). tRNAs cope with the degeneracy of the genetic code in two manners: having more than one tRNA (with a specific anti-codon) for a particular amino acid; and 'wobble' base-pairing, i.e. permitting non-standard base-pairing at the 3rd anti-codon position. Lineage: Eukaryota; Metazoa; Chordata; Mammalia; Carnivora; Canidae. RNAcentral also lists the same sequence under 1 other name. The record is from Rfam by way of RNAcentral.
ACCUGGCUGGCUCUGGUGGAGCAUGUGACUCUUGAUCUCAAGGUUGUGGGUUCAAACCCCUUGAUGGGUG